RNAcentral lists this ribosomal RNA (525 nucleotides) under uncultured Curvibacter sp. RNAcentral's name for it is "bacterial SSU rRNA". It matches the Rfam family "Bacterial small subunit ribosomal RNA", at positions 8 to 529 of the family's 1533-position model. The record is from RNAcentral. Lineage: Bacteria; Pseudomonadati; Pseudomonadota; Betaproteobacteria; Burkholderiales; Comamonadaceae.
AGGGUUUGUCAUGGCUCAGAUUGAACGCUGGCGGCAUGCCUUACACAUGCAAGUCGAACGGCAGCACGGGAGCAAUCCUGGUGGCGAGUGGCGAACGGGUGAGUAAUAUAUCGGAACGUGCCCAGUCGUGGGGGAUAACGUAGCGAAAGCUACGCUAAUACCGCAUACGAUCUAUGGAUGAAAGCGGGGGAUCGCAAGACCUCGCGCGAUUGGAGCGGCCGAUAUCAGAUUAGGUAGUUGGUGAGGUAAAGGCUCACCAAGCCGACGAUCUGCAGCUGGUCUGAGAGGACGACCAGCCACACUGGGACUGAGACACGGCCCAGACUCCUACGGGAGGCAGCAGUGGGGAAUUUUGGACAAUGGGCGAAAGCCUGAUCCAGCAAUGCCGCGUGCAGGAUGAAGGCCUUCGGGUUGUAAACUGCUUUUGUACGGAGCGAAAAGGCUCCCUCUAAUACAGGGGGCUCAUGACGGUACCGUAAGAAUAAGCACCGGCUAACUACGUGCCAGCAGCCGCGGUAAUACGUA